This 501-nucleotide ribosomal RNA is filed under the name uncultured bacterium. RNAcentral describes it as "partial 16S ribosomal RNA". It matches the Rfam family "Bacterial small subunit ribosomal RNA", at positions 29 to 523 of the family's 1533-position model. The record is from RNAcentral.
AUUGAACGCUGGCGGAAUGCUUUACACAUGCAAGUCGAACGGCAGCACGGGUGCUUGCACCUGGUGGCGAGUGGCGAACGGGUGAGUAAUACAUCGGAACGUACCCAGUCGUGGGGGAUAACGUAGCGAAAGUUACGCUAAUACCGCAUACGUCCUGAGGGAGAAAGCGGGGGACCGUAAGGCCUCGCGCGAUUGGAGCGGCCGAUGGCGGAGUAGCUAGUUGGGGGGGUAAAGGCCGCCCAAGGCGACGAUCCGUAGCGGGUCUGAGAGGACGGCCCGCCACACUGGAACUGAGACACGGGCCAGACUCCUACGGGAGGCAGCAGUGGGGAAUUUGGACAAUGGGCGAAAGCCUGAUCCAGCCAUUCCGCGUGAGUGAAGAAGGCCUUCGGGUUGUAAAGCUCUUUCGGCAGGGAAGAAACGGCUUGGGAUAAUACCCCGGGCUAAUGACGGUACCUGAAGAAGAAGCACCGGCUAACUACGUGCCAGCCGCCGCAGUAA